This 117-nucleotide ribosomal RNA is filed under the name Actinomycetota bacterium. The record is from RNAcentral. Lineage: Bacteria; Bacillati; Actinomycetota.
UACGGUGGUUAUAGCGAAGGGGAAACACCUGUUCCCAUCCCGAACACAGAAGUUAAGCCCUUCAGCGCCGAUGGUACUGCAUUGGAGACGGUGUGGGAGAGUAGGACGCCACCGUAU